UCCUUGUGUGUUCCUGAAAAUACUUGAUAACGUCUUUGUGUUUUUGCUUUCGCUCCACAGGGCUUGCAGAUUUUCAUUCUGUUCAAAGCAAGAACAGGCAUUUUCAAGAAAAAGAUGUUAAUGUUUUGAAGUCUGUCUCUAGCACUGGGAUCCCUCUUCACACUAGGAAGUUCAGUCUAUGGCGAGUCUCUGUGACAGGUGGAGAGCAGCACAGCAUUAGACCAACAGACGUCCUAAUAAUGUGCAGUCUGCUGACACUGCAUGCCUGGAAACAGCAGACAUGAAGGAGCUAUGGAUUAUGGCUGUCUUUGCUACAGUCUCUUUUCCACAGGGGAUUCACCAUAUCAUCUGUCAUUCCAACCACCAUUGACAUAAAAAAACAACUACUGAUGACCCUAUAACCCUAAAUACUACUGGUCUUCACUACUGGUUACCCUACCACUAUCCGUCACCAGUACCAGUCUGCCCACCACCUCUACCACCUCUACCAACUCCUCUACCACCACAACCCCUUCUUGGUCUGUAUAAAUGGUGGUGAGCUGCUGA
Long non-coding RNA from Salvelinus sp. IW2-2015, 546 nucleotides. RefSeq lists it as uncharacterized. NCBI's taxonomy places the organism in Eukaryota, Metazoa, Chordata, Actinopteri, Salmoniformes, Salmonidae. The record is from RefSeq and is a predicted model, not a curated record.